This 1204-nucleotide long non-coding RNA is filed under the name Mus spicilegus (steppe mouse). RNAcentral describes it as "lncRNA (ENSMSIG00000031797.1)". The record is from RNAcentral. Lineage: Eukaryota; Metazoa; Chordata; Mammalia; Rodentia; Muridae.
UUUGACUCUGGAAAGCCUCCCCCAAACCCCAGGACAAAGAUGACUUUUGGAAGAUUGCCCAAAACGAUAGCUAGAGUGCGCCCUGGGCUCUGGGAGAUGGAGGAGAGAGGCGACAGGAGGAGUCAAUGGUUUGCCCAGUGCUGCGGGGAGGCGCUUUGCACGCUCUAGAUCGCAAGCCAAGCGUCUAGUGCCAAGAGCUGUCAGGCAAAAGACUGGUCAGCUGGAGAGACUUCUCGGGACGCGGAGAGGUAGAACAGGUUUGCAGAGCGCUGGCAGCCUCGGUUGACACUAAGGAUCUAUUGCCCCGCGCGCGCGCGAUGCGUGAGCUGAAUUGGGGUGGAAGGGCCUGUUGAAGAGCCAGGGAAGCAGCGUUUAGGAGAGAGUUUUCCGAGGCCACGCCGUGACGGUCGACAUUAAUAUUAGUGGAAAGACGCGUGCCCCGCAGUAAGAUCAUGAGAAGGGAUCCAGGAAAUGAAAGAGGAGAGGCAAGAAGAUUUUACAACUUCAAAAGUAUUUAAAACUUAGCCUGCAAAAUAAAAACAUCUUCAUAAAAGUUAUGAAGACCCGUUUCUAAAGUAUACAAGCUAAAGAACUGAUUAUGUACCACAAAAGCUGUGAAGCCGAGAUCUUAAUUUUCUUAGCACCGGGUUGCAGCCCUUGGGUUGAAGAGAGCAAACGCCACUAAUAUGGAAACAUAAACCAGAGAGAGAUGCAUUCCUUUGCCUACCACCAGAUGCUCCAAUGGAAGCAUCAUUUGCAGGGAGGAUGCUUGGAAUUACGUCUGAGAUCAAGAAGCAGAUGGAAAGCACCCGUGUGCUCCAUGUCCCGCUGACUGCUUUUAAUAUGUGUUCAAUUCUCUACGGAUUUAAGGCUUGGGCUCUCUGUGCUCUGCUUCCCCUGUGUCCACCUGAGCAUCGAUUGCUGCUUCUUUCCUAACCCCCGAGGACCUUUCUGUGGGCAUUCCCUUCAGAGCACGAGUCUUCUCCGUUUGCACAGCCAUAUAUAAAGUCAUCACACCAUUCCAAAGACAUCAAACAAGGAAUGAAUAUACAGCUCUUUCUGAUCUACAUGAAGAAACUACAAAAUACAAGAGAGAUGGAAAGAGAAAGAAAGAAAAAGCCCCGGAAUAAGGGCACAGAGAAGACUCGUCACUGCCUACAUCCCAUCUGAGCUUCAUGGUCAUUUUUAUGGAUCAUCAAAACAG